RNAcentral lists this long non-coding RNA (611 nucleotides) under Pogonomyrmex barbatus (red harvester ant). Its description in RNAcentral is "uncharacterized LOC105427077, transcript variant X1". The record is from RNAcentral. Lineage: Eukaryota; Metazoa; Arthropoda; Insecta; Hymenoptera; Formicidae.
AAAUGCAAAAUGAGCAGAGCCGACAUUUUAAAUAAUAACUGUCGUUAUUGUUAAAUAACUGUCGAGCCAACGAUACGUCAUGUGUGACCGGCUACCGCUGUUAUUUCGUAAUGCGCCGAUUUUAUUGGUCAUCGAAUCACGCGUGGACGUUAGAAACACGCCUACGAUGACAUGGCACGCGAGUGCAACGCGGAAUGCCGCGUGUCGAUAUAGGAUUUAUCACUUGAACUUUAAUCCGAUGGUUAGCGCCGGAAGCCGACACUUCAGAAAGGGGCGAGGCGGUAAUUGAAAAUGUUGCAAUCGAACCUGCUGAAAAUGCAAACGGUCUAAGUCCGCCGAGAAACACAGUUCCGCAAAUGAUGUUAGACCUAAUUCUUCUGAUUCUUUUCUACUUAUACUUGAAAAUGCGGAUUACGGCAGACGAAAAAGCAACGAAAAGCAACUUCGCGAAUCGCUAAGAGGUCAAUCGGCGCAUUAAAUACCUAUUGACCCUCGUAAGUUCGUUUAUUGGUUUAAUAGCUUGCAUAGACAGAAGAACAAGUUUGAGCAUGUCUUUACGCUUGUCAAGACUUUAAGACCGUUGGAAAAAUAUUUCACGAGUCACGCUUUCG